GAUGAACGCUAGCGGCAGGCCUAAUACAUGCAAGUCGAACGAGAUUACGAGGCUUGCUUCUUAUGAAAGUGGCGCACGGGUGCGUAACGCGUAUGCAACCUACCUUAAUCAGGGGGAUAGCCCUAAGAAAUUCGGAUUAAGACCGCAUAAAAACACAGGAUAGCAUUAUCCAAUGUUCAAAUAUUUAUAGGAUUAAGAUGGGCAUGCGUGUCAUUAGCUAGUUGGCGGGGUAACGGCCCACCAAGGCGACGAUGACUAGGGGAUCUUAGAGGAUGACCCCCCACACGGGUACUGGGAAACGGACCAGACUCCUACGGGAGGCAGCAGUAAGGAAUAUUGGUCAAUGGAGGGAACUCUGAACCAGCCAUGCCGCGUGCAGGAAGACAGCCCUCUGGGUCGUAAACUGCUUUUAGUCGGGAAUAAACCUUUCUACGUGUAGGAAGCUGAAUGUACCGAAGGAAUAAGGAUCGGCUAACUCCGUG
RNAcentral lists this ribosomal RNA (482 nucleotides) under uncultured bacterium. Its description in RNAcentral is "partial 16S ribosomal RNA". It matches the Rfam family "Bacterial small subunit ribosomal RNA", at positions 28 to 507 of the family's 1533-position model. The record is from RNAcentral.